GAUGAACGCUGGCGGCGUGCCUAAUACAUGCAAGUCGAGCGAACGGACGAGAAGCUUGCUUCUCUGAUGUUAGCGGCGGACGGGUGAGUAACACGUGGAUAACCUACCUAUAAGACUGGGAUAACUUCGGGAAACCGUAGCUAAUACCGGAUAAUAUUUUGAACCGCAUGGUUCAAAAGUGAAAGACGGUCUUGCUGUCACUUAUAGAUGGAUCCGCGCUGCAUUAGCUAGUUGGUAAGGUAACGGCUUACCAAGGCAACGAUGCAUAGCCGACCUGAGAGGGUGAUCGGCCACACUGGAACUGAGACACGGUCCAGACUCCUACGGGAGGCAGCAGUAGGGAAUCUUCCGCAAUGGGCGAAAGCCUGACGGAGCAACGCCGCGUGAGUGAUGAAGGUCUUCGGAUCGUAAAACUCUGUUAUUAGGGAAGAACAUAUGUGUAAGUAACUGUGCACAUCUUGACGGUACCUAAUCAGAAAGCCACGGCUAACUACGU
RNAcentral lists this ribosomal RNA (496 nucleotides) under uncultured bacterium. Its description in RNAcentral is "partial 16S ribosomal RNA". It matches the Rfam family "Bacterial small subunit ribosomal RNA", at positions 28 to 506 of the family's 1533-position model. The record is from RNAcentral.